RNAcentral lists this ribosomal RNA (496 nucleotides) under uncultured bacterium. Its description in RNAcentral is "bacterial SSU rRNA". It matches the Rfam family "Bacterial small subunit ribosomal RNA", at positions 8 to 483 of the family's 1533-position model. The record is from RNAcentral.
AGAGUUUGAUCAUGGGCUCAGAACUUAACGCUAGCGGCGUGCUUAACACAUGCAAGUCGUACGAGAAAGUUUCCCUUUCGGGGAAUGAGUACAGUGGCGCACGGGUGAGUAACGCGUGGAUAAUCUGCCCUCCAGGCAGGAAUAACCCACCGAAAGGUGGGCUAAUACCGGAUGACACUGACGUGCCUCGGCACAUCAGUCAAAGAUGGCCUCUCCAUGGAAGCUGUCGCUGGAGGAUGAGUCCGCGUACCAUUAGCUUGUUGGUAGGGUAAUGGCCUACCAAGGCGACGAUGGUUAGCUGGUCUGAGAGGACGGCCAGCCACACUGGAACUGAGACACGGUCCAGACUCCUACGGGAGGCAGCAGUGAGGAAUAUUGCGCAAUGGGGGAAACCCUGACGCAGCAACGCCGCGUGAGUGAGGAAGGUCUUCGGAUCGUAAAGCUCUGUCAGAUGGGAAGAAGGCUGAAAAGUUAACAGCUUCGAUGCUUGCGGUCC